AGAGUUUGAUCUUGGCUCAGAACGAACGCUGGCGGCAGGCUUAAUACAUGCAAGUCGAACGGCUGUAGCAAUACAGCAGUGGCAGACGGGUGAGUAACACGUGGGAACCUACCUAGGGGUACGGAAUAACUCAGGGAAACUUGUGCUAAUACCGUAUACGACCUCAGGGUGAAAGAUUUAUCGCCCCUAGAUGGGCCCGCGCUGGAUUAGCUAGUUGGUGGGGUAAAAGCCUACCAAGGCGACGAUCCAUAGCUGGUCUGAGAGGAUGAUCAGCCACACUGGGACUGAGACACGGCCCAGACUCCUACGGGAGGCAGCAGUAGGGAAUCUUGGACAAUGGGCGAAAGCCUGAUCCAGCCAUGCCGCGUGAGUGAUGAAGGCCUUAGGGUUGUAAAGCUCUUUCGCCAGGGAAGAUAAUGACGGUACCUGGAUAAGAAGCCCCGGCUAACUUCGUGCCAGCAGCCGCGGUAAUACGAAGGGGGCUAGCGUUGUUCGGAAUUACUGGGCGUAAAGCGCACGUAGGCGGCAUUCCAAGUUGGAGGUGAAAUCCCCGGGCUUAA
This 560-nucleotide ribosomal RNA is filed under the name uncultured bacterium. RNAcentral's name for it is "bacterial SSU rRNA". It matches the Rfam family "Bacterial small subunit ribosomal RNA", at positions 8 to 612 of the family's 1533-position model. The record is from RNAcentral.